This 46-nucleotide non-coding RNA is filed under the name Trichobilharzia regenti. The record is from RNAcentral. Lineage: Eukaryota; Metazoa; Platyhelminthes; Trematoda; Strigeidida; Schistosomatidae.
GUACUGCUGAAGAGUCCCAAACUAGGACGAAACAGCUGCCCAGCAC